UAAUACAUAAGUAACCUGCCCUAGACAGGGGGAUAACUAUUGGAAACGAUAGCUAAGACCGCAUAGGUAUGGACACUGCAUGGUGACCGUAUUAAAAGUGCCUCAAAGCACUGGUAGAGGAUGGACUUAUGGCGCAUUAGCUGGUUGGCGGGGUAACGGCCCACCAAGGCGACGAUGCGUAGCCGACCUGAGAGGGUGACCGGCCACACUGGGACUGAGACACGGCCCAG
This 230-nucleotide ribosomal RNA is filed under the name uncultured bacterium. RNAcentral describes it as "partial 16S ribosomal RNA". It matches the Rfam family "Bacterial small subunit ribosomal RNA", at positions 111 to 334 of the family's 1533-position model. The record is from RNAcentral.